GAUGAACGCUGGCGGCGUGCUUAACACAUGCCAGUCGAACGUAGCAUUUAGGACAGAUUACUUCGGUUUGAAGUUCUUUAUGACUGAGUGGCGGACGGGUGAGUAACGCGUGGGUAACCUGCCUUGUACUGGGGGAUAGCAGCUGGAAACGGCUGGUAAUACCGCAUAAGCGCACAAUGUUGCAUGACAUGGUGUGAAAAACUCCGGUGGUAUAAGAUGGACCCGCGUCUGAUUAGCUAGUUGGUGAGAUAACAGCCCACCAAGGCGACGAUCAGUAGCCGACCUGAGAGGGUGACCGGCCACAUUGGGACUGAGACACGGCCCAGACUCCUACGGGAGUCAGCAGUGGGGAAUAUUGCACAAUGGAGGAAACUCUGAUGCAGCGACGCCGCGUGAGUGAAGAAGUAAUUCGUUAUGUAAAGCUCUAUCAGCAGGGAAGAUAGUGACGGUACCUGACUAAGAAGCUCCGGCUAAAUACGUG
This 481-nucleotide ribosomal RNA is filed under the name uncultured bacterium. RNAcentral's name for it is "partial 16S ribosomal RNA". It matches the Rfam family "Bacterial small subunit ribosomal RNA", at positions 28 to 507 of the family's 1533-position model. The record is from RNAcentral.